This 24-nucleotide microRNA is filed under the name Pristionchus pacificus. RNAcentral's name for it is "ppc-miR-8217-5p". The record is from miRBase by way of RNAcentral. Lineage: Eukaryota; Metazoa; Nematoda; Chromadorea; Rhabditida; Neodiplogasteridae.
ACGUCAGUUCUGCCACUUUUUACC